RNAcentral lists this ribosomal RNA (249 nucleotides) under uncultured bacterium. RNAcentral describes it as "partial 16S ribosomal RNA". It matches the Rfam family "Bacterial small subunit ribosomal RNA", at positions 523 to 771 of the family's 1533-position model. The record is from RNAcentral.
AUACGUAGGGGGCAAGCGUUGUCCGGAUUUACUGGGUGUAAAGGGCGCGUAGGCGGGCUCGUAAGUCAGAGGUGAAAUCCUGAAGCUUAACUUCAGAACUGCCUUUGAUACUGCGAGUCUGAAUUCAGAAGAGAGAGAUGGAAUUCCAGGUGUAGUGGUGAAAUACGUAGAUAUCUGGAAGAACACCAGUUGCGAAGGCGAUCUCUUGGUCUGACACUGACGCUGAGGCGACGAAAGCGGUGGGGAGAC